RNAcentral lists this long non-coding RNA (1385 nucleotides) under Sus scrofa (pig). RNAcentral's name for it is "lncRNA (ENSSSCG00015003872.1)". Lineage: Eukaryota; Metazoa; Chordata; Mammalia; Artiodactyla; Suidae. The record is from RNAcentral.
AAAAAUAAAAUAAAANNNNAAAAAAAAAAAAAAAAGACGGAGCCGCAGCCCAUUCACUCCCCAUUGCUGGCUGUGCGGCUCAGGGCCCUGGCUGCAUCGGCUCCAAAAACCUCCCAUCUGCUAGGGACCAAAACCCACUGCGUUCCUCUUUUUUCUUGGCGAGGGAAGGGUUUCUCUCCUUUGAGGCAAGGUUCAGUGUAUUUUGUGUGGAAAAGGAAGGACACAUUGUUUCUGAUAGAAGCUGUACAAACAUGUAAUAUUAUUUCCAACUACUUGCCAUCCUGCCGAGAUCACACAUGUCUGCCCUUUGAACACAAGCUCGGCCACUGGACUUGGGCAGCCCUUCCUUCCCUUGGAGGGACCUCAGUUCCUUGCACAUUUCAAUGCUAGCUUGGCUGUUUGAGUUCCUGACCCGUUUGCUGCGAGUUGAAUGGCGUAUUUCAGUUUUACGUGGGAGGUUUCAGGCCCUUUGCUUCAUUUACCGCUGUCUUCUCUCUGCUUCACGAUGGUCUUAGACAGACUGGAGUUUGACCCUGAAUCGUUGAAUCAAAUGGCAGAACCAAGAGAGAGGUGAGUGACAGAUACGAGGAAGAGAGAAGUGCUGGUUGUCUUCGGCCAGUAGGGGUUCCGGGUUGUCUUGGUUGCAGUAGCAAGCUUUCUAAUGCUAUCUGAGGUUGGUUAAUCUUCGAAAGUAAUAGACUUAGCUCCCACUAAUAUGAAUUUUCUUAUGUGUGGUCCAUUAAGAAUAUCCACUGGGAGUUCCCACUGUGGCACAGCAGGCUAAGGAUCUGGUGUUGUCUCUGAGGCAGCGUGGGUUUGAUUCCCCAGCCCAGCACAGUGGGUUAAGGAUCUGGUGUUGCCACAGCUGUGGCACAGGUCACAGCUAAGGCUCAGAUUUGAUCCCUGGCCUGGGAACUUCCUUUUGUUGCAGGUGCGGCUGAAAAACAAUUGUGUGUGUGCGCACGCGCGCACACAUGUGUGUGUAUCCACUGAACAUUUUGUCACCCGCAUUAUAUCUGACAAUGUUUCCAGUAUGAAUUCUAUGCGGUAUAUCCUGGCAUCACUGCUUAAGACCCUUGACACAUGUAUGUGGUUUCCAUCUGAUGUGAAUUCUUCCAUAAUUUCAAAGAUGGUUUUGAUAAAGCUCAUCACAUUCCGUAUUUGUAUAAUUUCUCUCUAGUAAGAAACUGUUCUGUCCCAUGAGGCAUAAACUUUUGUUUUUUUUUUUUUUAGGGCUGCACCUGAGGCAUGUGGAGGUUCCCAAGCCACGGGUCAAACCUGAGCUAUAGCCAUCGGCCUACACCAUAGCUCACGGCAAUGGCAGUUCCAUAACCCACUGAGCAAGGCCAGGGAUCGAACCUGUGUCUUUAUGGAUGCUAGUCAGA